This 478-nucleotide ribosomal RNA is filed under the name uncultured bacterium. Its description in RNAcentral is "partial 16S ribosomal RNA". It matches the Rfam family "Bacterial small subunit ribosomal RNA", at positions 28 to 523 of the family's 1533-position model. The record is from RNAcentral.
GACGAACGCUGGCGGCGUGCUUAACACAUGCAAGUCGAACGGUAAGGCCCUUCGGGGUACACGAGUGGCGAACGGGUGAGUAACACGUGGGUGAUCUGCCCUGCACUUCGGGAUAAGCCUGGGAAACUGGGUCUAAUACCGGAUAGGACUCCUGGCUUCAUGGUUGGGGGUGGAAAGCUUUUGUGGUGUGGGAUGGGCCCGCGGCCUAUCAGCUUGUUGGUGGGGUAAUGGCCUACCAAGGCGACGACGGGUAGACGGCCUGAGAGGGUGACCGGUCACACUGGGACUGAGAUACGGCCCAGACUCCUACGGGAGGCAGCAGUGGGGAAUAUUGCACAAUGGGCGCAAGCCUGAUGCAGCGACGCCGCGUGAGGGAUGACGGCCUUCGGGUUGUAAACCUCUUUCAGCUAUGACGAAGCGCAAGUGACGGUAGUAGCAGAAGAAGGACCGGCCAACUACGUGCCAGCCGCCGCAGUAA